CUUAACCGGGCGUUAAGUUGCAGGGUAUAGACCCGAAACCCGGUGAUCUAGCCAUGGGCAGGUUGAAGGUUGGGUAACACUAACUGGAGGACCGAACCGACUAAUGUUGAAAAAUUAGCGGAUGACCUGUGGCUGGGGGUGAAAGGCCAAUCAAACCGGGAGAUAGCUGGUUCUCCCCGAAAGCUAUUUAGGUAGCGCCUCGUGAAUUCAUCUCCGGGGGUA
RNAcentral lists this ribosomal RNA (222 nucleotides) under Salmonella enterica subsp. enterica serovar Kentucky. RNAcentral describes it as "partial 23S ribosomal RNA". It matches the Rfam family "Bacterial large subunit ribosomal RNA", at positions 683 to 904 of the family's 2925-position model. Lineage: Bacteria; Pseudomonadati; Pseudomonadota; Gammaproteobacteria; Enterobacterales; Enterobacteriaceae. The record is from RNAcentral.